GACGUAGGGCGCGAGCGUUGUCCGGAUUUAUUGGGCGUAAAGAGCUCGUAGGCGGCUUGUUGCGUCGACCGUGAAAACCCGGGGCUCAACUUCGGGCUUGCGGUCGAUACGGGCGGGCUGGAGUUCGGUAGGGGAGACUGGAAUUCCUGGUGUAGCGGUGAAAUGCGCAGAUAUCAGGAGGAACACCGGUGGCGAAGGCGGGUCUCUGGGCCGAUACUGACGCUGAGGAGCGAAAGCGUGGGGAGCGAACAGG
This 253-nucleotide ribosomal RNA is filed under the name uncultured bacterium. Its description in RNAcentral is "partial 16S ribosomal RNA". It matches the Rfam family "Bacterial small subunit ribosomal RNA", at positions 524 to 776 of the family's 1533-position model. The record is from RNAcentral.